Non-coding RNA from Phascolarctos cinereus (koala), 605 nucleotides. Lineage: Eukaryota; Metazoa; Chordata; Mammalia; Diprotodontia; Phascolarctidae. The record is from RefSeq and is a predicted model, not a curated record.
CAGGAUAGAGUAAUGUGUUCAAAGCUGAGGGUGACCUAUUCUGUAAAUCUGAGCUCAACCAUAAGUGAAAAAAGAUGUGUAUUCAAUGAUAAAAAGGUAUGAGAAACAUUCUUAGUAGGGGUAAAUGAAUGUAGCAGCCAAGGACAGCAACAGCAACAGAGUGAAGUUGAAGAGACUAGUAAGAGAAUACUUUCUAAAUGUAAACUAAGAGACAGAGAGAGGUGAAAGCGAAAGUCAGGUGGAGGUAACAACAGUGGAGAGUCAGACCUGGAGCACUAUGGAGAGAGCCCUGUGACAUCCUGCCUACAGCUCCUGCCAUUCUGUUCACUUCACUCCACCCAGUAACCACAAGUUGGUCAUACAAAUGACCUUGAAGUCCUGGCAAGUGUCCAGAAAGCAGUGAUAACACUUGAGCCGAAGAGAUGGAGCGCCUAACCUCUGCUAAGCAGUUCUGACAUAUUGGGAAAGAUGAUCAUGCACUCAAUGCAGCCUCAAAGGCUCAGAUGCAACAGAGUACAGACCAAUUCUCUGCUGGUUGUGCUAAUUUUGCCCUCGCAAUCAAUACCAAGAAAACAGAGGUUCUCCACCAGUCAGCAUCAUACUGU